Long non-coding RNA from Dermochelys coriacea (leatherback sea turtle), 659 nucleotides. RefSeq lists it as uncharacterized. The transcript is spliced from 2 exons. The record is from RefSeq and is a predicted model, not a curated record. NCBI's taxonomy places the organism in Eukaryota, Metazoa, Chordata, Testudines, Dermochelyidae.
CUCUCACCACGUUCCCCUCCUCCUAGUUCCUGGAGCUCUUGAUCCUGUUAGUCGGCUGUCACUGCGGGAUGAGCCAGGCCGCUGCCCGACAGCAGGUGGGGCUGUGCUGUCCACACUGAGGAUCAGAGAUCAGAGCAAAACCACGUGCCCAGAGUGGGCAAGAGCAGCUGGGGGUUGCUAUUCCUAGGGGAGGUCCAGGAGCCGCUGGCACCGGAGCUUGGUUAGCCAUAGUUCUUCACUUUUAAACAGGAUUUAGUUUGCCUUUUUUCACUUCUAUUCUUUGAGAGCUGGGGGGAGCAGGAGGUGACGCUGCAAACAACCUCUUGAGGUUAGCUACGGCACAGCCCCGAAUCUCAGCUGGCCCAGGGACCUGGAGCUCUGCUCUGAAGGGGCUCACUUGAUGGAGUCUGAGGAUAGUUCAGUGAGAAAGCCAAAAGUUGCCCGAGUCUGUGCUAGGCACUGCUCUGAAGAAACUCAGGUUACUAGAAUCUCAUCUGGCUAGUGGUGGGGCUCCACUGGGCAGAAGAUCACAUUUCUGGGGCUGACCUUCAGUAGAGAGGAAUCUGGAAUAUGAGGCUCUUUCUGCUCUACUCAACAGUUUUUCACGUUUCAGCUAGGGUUGCCAGCCCUCCAGGAUUGCCUUGAAGUCUCCAGGAAUU